RNAcentral lists this long non-coding RNA (2380 nucleotides) under Citrus x clementina. Its description in RNAcentral is "Citrus clementina (C. clementina) long non-coding RNA (CCLE_LNC003612)". The record is from RNAcentral. Lineage: Eukaryota; Viridiplantae; Streptophyta; Magnoliopsida; Sapindales; Rutaceae.
UUUUGUAGAAUAAAAUAGUUUUUUAAAACAUUUAGGGGUAAAAUAAUUAUUUUUUGUGUUAAAGUGGCUGAUUGAUAUAAACUUAGAAAUAAAGGUAGUGCAAAAAAUAUAUCAAAAUUUUGAGGUAAUUUAAUGUACAUAUGACAAAAUAAAGGUGAUGUAGAGAUAAUUUUCCUUAAUAAUUAGUGUUAGAUUUUAUGGUGAGCCUUAUAAACAAAUUUGAAAUACUAACUAGGCAACCCAAGAGGGGGGUGAAUUGGGAUUUUAAAAAGUAUCCUAGGCAAACCACACAACAAUUUAAUCUAAUGCCUUAAUAAAUUCGAAAACAAUAAAUUCAAUCAAGCACAAUAUUAAAAGAGUAAGGGAAGAGAAAACGAACACAAGGAUUUUUACGUGGUUCGGCUAUCCCCGCCUACGUCCACGCCUCCAAGCACACCGGGCUUGAGGAUUUCACUAAGCUAGCCUCCCAAGGCUUCAAACGCUUACAAUUGACUUCCAAGGUGUCAAUGGACCUUUACAACAAGAGAUUAUCCCCAAUCUCUUAACCCAAGUGUAUCCCAACACUUACAAUCUUUUAACUUGAUUUUACAAAAAAAAAGAUUACAAAUGAAUCUCUCUCACACAAUGUGUUUGAUCACAAGUGAAAGCUCAAUGUGUGAAUGAAUGAGAUGAAUACAAAGAUUUAAAGCUCAAUGAAAAUUGUAUUCUCAAUAUUUUGCUCAAUGAUGAUCGUUGGAAUUCUUUUUGUUUGAAUUGGAUUGAGCAUAUUUAUAGUUGGAGCUGAAAAUCUAGCCGUUACAAACUGUCGGACAGAAAACGGUUCGCCGUUAACCAUAAACGGUUAGCCGUUUCGGUUGGUCAAAGUUACCGUUGGGCCAAUUUUCAAAUAAACGGUUAGCCGUUUAGGCUUACCCUUUCGCCGUUAAUUUCCAGAGACCUGCAAAACAAAUUUGGUUUAACCGUUCUUACUAAACGGUUCAAGGUUAGCAAAAACUGGAAAUAAUCGGUUAACCGUUUUCAGUAAACGGUUCACCGUUAGUUUCCAGAAUCAUCAUUUUAACAAUACUUUGCAGAACAUGCUUUCUGGAAAUUAUCGGUUAACCGUUUUUAAAUAAACGGUUAGCCGUUUGCUACAGUGAUUGCUACAGUAACCUGCACAGUGCACUAUUUUCUGAAAUUACCGUUUGACCCCAAAACUUUAUAAAAUUAUAUUAAGGCCCAAAACGUUAUGAAACUUUGCAAAUAGGUACAAUUUCAGAAUUUCUAAGUAAUGCUUUGUUAAUCCCAAAACUUUCUGAAAUUAUGAUAUAGCCAAAAAUGCUAUGACACUUUUCAAAUAAGUUCUUUACCAAAAUUUCAAGAAAUACUUGUUUAUUUCAAAGUUUUCAAAAUGCUUUCAAUUAAACCAUAAACUUUGAAAAACAACCAAUUUCAUAAAAUCAUUUUUCCAUUAAAUAUGAAACAUUUAUAAUGUGAAAAUAAUGAUUUAUUAUUUAAAAAGAAUAAAAACAAUUAAUUUCAUAAAAUCAUUUUUCCAUUAAAUACAAAACAUUUAUAAUGUGAAAAUAAUGAUUUAUUUAAAAAGAAUAUUAAAUAAUUUGAGCUUAAAAGAUUAAUCAUUCUUAAUCUUGUUUGUUAUCAUCAAAAUCAAUAUUAUGGAAACAUAUAUGUUAACAAAAUUGUGGAUAAAAUAGUUUAAUUUAUUAUUGCAUAUAAUGUAUUUGACGAAAUGUGUGUGUGAAAGCGAAUGUGUUGUUGUUGCUAUAAUUUACUUCAUAUUUUAUGUUUGAGCAUGAUUGUUUGAAUCGGGCAAUUUCUUUAAAUAUAAAUUUUGAUAAUGAAUUUAUAAAAAUGCUUGGAUAAGUUAAUUUUCUCUUUUCUUUUGUCAAAAUGUUACGGUGUAAUUUUAUUUGUUUUACCACUUUUUACUUCUUUUUUUUCAAAAUCUUACAGCAUAAUUUUAUUAUUUUUUCAACUAGACUGGCAAAUUCAUUUUUUUUUUAAAUUAAAAAGUUAAGGUGGGUAAAAGUCAAAUCAAAAUUUUCAAUCCUUGUACAGUUGUACUCUAAAAUUUGAACUCGGCCGUCAAGUUAAAAAAACAUGUAAAGAUUUAUUUCAUAAUUUUUGUUUCCAAAAUCGUUUUAAGUUUUUUUUUCAAUGACAUUACAAAAUUAUUGAUUAUAAUAUUAAAAAUUUAUUCAAUGUACGUUAACAUAUCUAAUUUCAGAGAAACUUGCGCGAGAUAUAUUAAAGUUGUAACUGGUAAGCCCAUUUAAUGGUGCUUUAUCAUGUGGUGGCAGAGUAGUGGAAUCCACUUUCACCGGCUUUUAAAUAUAGAGUGCGUUUGAUAUACAUAUUGUAUUAUGUUGUAUUAUAUUAU